AGCAGCCGCGGUAAUUCCAGCUCCAAUAGCGUAUAUUAAAGUUGUUGCAGUUAAAAAGCUCGUAGUUGAAUUUCGGGAUCAAUUUAUCGGUCGUGCCAAUGGUAUGAACUGGUACAAUUGGUUUCUCCCUUCUGACGAGGCAUGAUGUCAUUAAUUUGGUGUCGUGGGGAAUCAGGACUGUUACUUUGAAAAAAUUAGAGUGUUUAAAGCAAGCAUUAGCUUGAAUACAUUAGCAUGGAAUAAUGAAAUAGGACGUUUGAUCCUAUUUCGUUGGUUUCUAGGAUCGACGUAAUGAUUAAUAGGGAUAGUUGGGGGCAUUAGUAUUCAAUUGUCAGAGGUGAAAUUCUUGGAUUUAUUGAAGACUAACUACUGCGAAAGCAUUUGCCAAGGAUGUUUUCAUUAAUCAAGAACGAAAGUUAGGGGAUCGAAGACGAUCAGAUACCGUCGUAGUCUUAACCAUAAACUAUGCCGACUAGGGAUCGGAUGAUGUAAUUUUUAAUGA
This 502-nucleotide ribosomal RNA is filed under the name uncultured Glomus. RNAcentral's name for it is "SSU rRNA". It matches the Rfam family "Eukaryotic small subunit ribosomal RNA", at positions 569 to 1075 of the family's 1831-position model. Lineage: Eukaryota; Fungi; Glomeromycota; Glomeromycetes; Glomerales; Glomeraceae. The record is from RNAcentral.